Non-coding RNA from Schistosoma mansoni, 70 nucleotides. NCBI's taxonomy places the organism in Eukaryota, Metazoa, Platyhelminthes, Trematoda, Strigeidida, Schistosomatidae. The record is from Rfam.
UCUAUAAUUCCGUCUGUAGCUCUUAUAGAGUUACUGCCGGUCCCAAGCCUGGGUAAAGGAGGAGGGUUGG